CCUGAAUCGUAGUAUUCCGCAGUUUUGUGCGCAUUGUUGGUUCCGGGAAUAUUUGAUUAAAAUGCAUAUAAUUCGCAGUUCGUGGAGCUUGGAUUGAUUUUAUUACUCUCUUUUGGAUUGGAUCGGGAUGGAAAUGGAAUGGUGAUGUCAAGGCUGGUUAAUCCCGAAAAGGAGGAAGGAGGUGCACACCAGAGGUCGACGCCGCGGAUUUUAUGCCGCCGCCGAUAUAUCUGAUUUCCUAUUCCUUCAACAUUGGGCUGUCGCGCUGCGGAAAACCCGCCAAAAUUAGCGCCGCCGUAAAUUGGUAGGCAUCGAUCUCUGGUAAACACGUGGGUAUUACGUCCGUUACGUUUGUAAUACCCACCCCGGGAUUUAGCACGGUUUUUCAAAACAAGAGUCCACAUCAGGUUUGCGGUCAGUGUGUUAUUUGUUGUUUUUUAUACUCAUCCAACAUUGAGUAGGACCUGAUCACGAUGCGUGCGUAUGGUGUCACCACGACCUCAAAGAGGUCACAUUGCGGUUGGCGAAACAAUCCAGCUUUUCAUUCUCGGUUUAAGAAUAAAUCUGUCAUUGUGUGGCAAUAUAAUAGCCAAACUGGCCGAGAAUGGUUCUCCCUAUAAAAACUAGAUUUUACCCUGAAAUCAUGGAGUGUGGAUGUAGCUGCUUAAAACUAGUAAAUCAUCAUCCUACGCUCAGGAACUGUCACCGUAGAUUUCAUUCGUAUUCAAAUUGAGUAACUUGUAAAAAAUGAGUACGUGCGAAUUUCUUGAUACGCGAAUUAGAAAGUUUUCUGGUCUCAUUUACACAAAUCCUAUAGGAGCUGCGCAAUUAAGUUGAAAUCAAGGAUUUGGUACACAUAAGUCCUAUACACCUUAAAUAUCUGACUGACAUACAUAAUAAUCUACCGUCGAAAAUAGUUUUUCAAUUAAAACGAAAAACUUGUCCGGAUUCCGGCGAAGAAUAAACCCAAAUGUCGAUCAAUCACGUUUCACUGGAGUAGAUUGCUUCUCAUUCUCAAGUGGAAUAGAAAAUUUACUAUUUAUGUAAGACUUCUUUUACAUAUAGAAUUUUCUAAAAGUCUCUUUUAAACCUAUCAAGGAGGAUAAGGUUGGUUGACGAAUAGUUCUAUGUUCCGGUAGAUAAGGUAAAUUAGUAAGUGAUUACGUAGAGAUUUAUUAUGUAUGUAUGCUUAUUCGAGCAGUAACAAAUUAUGCAAGUGUGCACAUAAAUCUUUGCAGGAGAGCUAAAUUUAGACACGCUAAUAAUUAUAGCUUGUAAGUAACACACUCGACGCAAUUUUAGUAACUAGUUUGUUCAAACAUUAAACAAAAACAAUUCCUUGCUGAACUGAAGGCUCAAACAGAGAAAAGGAGUUUGUGUCUCGGUAAAAGAAACCUACUAAAAGAUGAAUGCGUGUUCCUACAUGUGUUGCAUAAUGGGCAAUGAAUUAGCGAUGAAUUGGUUGGUGGUGGUAUUUCCAGACUAACGAAAACUGGAAUGGAAACAAGCGUCCAUUACAAAGUUGACGUGUGCAUAAAUGAUGCAUGCAGUUCCUUGGACAGGAUUACGGCAAUGUUCUAAAAUGUUCUAAAAGAGCAUCUAAUUUAAUGGUGAUGAUCUCUCCUAUAAUCUGCAUGGUUUAAGGUUGGACUUGUAAAAUUCCGCUCGUUCUGGUUAGAUUACUGGUUCAAAUUUAUAAAAGGAUGGUUCUCUCGGAAAGUUAGAAGCAGUAAGUGUUUUGCACGGAGCGAAAUUUUUACCAUUUGUUGGGACAUUUAAACUUUCAGUAAAAUGGAGCCAGAAGAAUGUCCAGAAGAGUGGAGAUAUUUCGGUUUGUGUGGACCCCACGUCGUCGUUAUCGUUAAAGAGUUUAAAGAAUUUAACGACAGAUACAGAUCAAAAGAUUGAUCUGUAUCGACUAAUAAAUUUGCUGUGAUCAAAAAACGUAGGUAAAUGUCUCAUUUGUUCAUGUUCGAAAAAUUGCAAAACUGUCCCAAUUCUCAUUGCGAUAUCUCAUUUUUUUGCAAAAUUGGCAUCCAAAUAAUUCAAUAUUUCAACAUUUCAUUUCAUCAAAUGCAAAUAAAAAAUCUGUGCAAAUACAGACUUAUUAAAUAGUUACAAAUUCCUAUAAUACCUUGUCUUGCAAAUAUUUAAAAAAAGAUCUAAGAAAUAAAUCACUCAACAAUUAAA
Folsomia candida is the source of this 2190-nucleotide long non-coding RNA. RefSeq lists it as uncharacterized. The transcript is spliced from 2 exons. The record is from RefSeq and is a predicted model, not a curated record. NCBI's taxonomy places the organism in Eukaryota, Metazoa, Arthropoda, Collembola, Entomobryomorpha, Isotomidae.